Molecule: ribosomal RNA, 292 nt
Filed under: uncultured bacterium
Lineage: Bacteria
Description: partial 16S ribosomal RNA
Rfam family: Bacterial small subunit ribosomal RNA
Source: RNAcentral
GUGUCAGCAGCCGCGGUAAUACGUAUGGGGCAAGCGUUAUCCGGAUUCAUUGGGCGUAAAGAGCGCGUAGGUGGCUUGUUAAGCGAGAUGUGAAAACCGGGGGCUCAACCCGCGGCCUGCAUCUCGAACUGGCAGGCUUGAGUCUGGUAGAGGAGUGUGGAAUUCCUAGUGUAGCGGUGAAAUGCGCAGAUAUUAGGAGGAACACCAGUGGCGAAGGCGGCACUCUGGGCCACGACUGACACUGAGGCGCGAAAGCUAGGGGAGCAAACAGGAUUAGAAACCCUUGUAGUCC